Molecule: long non-coding RNA, 722 nt
Filed under: Elaeis guineensis (African oil palm)
Lineage: Eukaryota; Viridiplantae; Streptophyta; Magnoliopsida; Arecales; Arecaceae
Description: long non-coding RNA (EGUI_LNC047216)
Source: RNAcentral
AAAUAAGUUCUCAUGAAUUUUCUUUCAUGCAGAAGCCUUCCCACGCCCCUCCUUUGUGCACCAUUUGGGUGGAUAAAGAUUGGUUGGUUGGCCAUUCAAAUUCAAAUGAUGUUUGAAUUUGAAUGGGCAACAACCCAUGCGCCACCUUAUCUAUUUGUGCGCCCCUUGCUCUACACGAGAAAAUAUUUCUCGUAUAGACUCUCCACGCACAAAGAGCCCAUGCCCCUCUCUUCUCUCACCUUGAGUGGAUAAGGAUAGGUUGGUUGGCAUUUGAAUUCAAAUUUGAUUUGAAUUCAAGUGAGCAACCACCUAGCUUUAUCCUCUCACGCGGUGAAGACACGAUAAAGAUGCGAUCUUGCACUAUUUUAAAAAGGGAAGAAAAGGUAGGGUGUGCACAUGACUUUCUGAGAGAGAAAGGGUGGCGUGAGAAAGGGCCUCUGCAUGAGAAAAGAAAAGAAAAGAAGAGAAAAGAAAAGAAGAGAGAAAGGGCGCAGGGUCAUCUGUGAGUACCCUAGGGUUUCUGCCUAGGGUUCGGGAAGUGAGAAUGUGAGCUACGAGUGUCGUGAGCCCACCAAACUUCAGGGAGUGCUUCAUCAAUCUCUCAAGUUCAUUUGCUAAUGAUCCAGAGUAUCUGAAGAGUUGGCAGAAACUGAUCGAAGGAGUUCGAUUAGCAUCGACCAUCGAAAGGGUUCUGCAACGAACUAGCAUUCGUGAGGAGCCGA